This is a small nuclear RNA of Mirounga angustirostris (Northern elephant seal), 137 nucleotides long. RefSeq annotates it as U4 spliceosomal RNA. Lineage: Eukaryota; Metazoa; Chordata; Mammalia; Carnivora; Phocidae. The record is from RefSeq and is a predicted model, not a curated record. The transcript has a single exon.
CACUUUGCGCAGUGGCAGUAUCGUAGCCAAUGAGGUUUAUCCGAGGCGCAACUAUUGCUAAAAGAAUCUGUUGUGUUUUCCCCUCUGUGAAAUGUCUGUUCAUUCUUUUGCCCAAUUUUUUACUGAGUUGUUUGUCU